This 392-nucleotide ribosomal RNA is filed under the name uncultured bacterium. RNAcentral's name for it is "partial 16S ribosomal RNA". It matches the Rfam family "Bacterial small subunit ribosomal RNA", at positions 523 to 918 of the family's 1533-position model. The record is from RNAcentral.
ACACGUAGGGGGCGAGCGUUGUUCGGAAUCAUUGGGCGUAAAGGGCGCGCAGGCGGCGAGGCAAGUCCGGUGUGAAAGUGCUCGGCUCAACCGAGUGAUGCGCUGGAAACUGCCCUGCUUGAGUAUAGGAGGGGACGUCGGAAUUCCAGGUGUAGGGGUGAAAUCUGUAGAUAUCUGGAAGAACACCGGUGGCGAAGGCGGACGUCUGGCCAUGUACUGACGCUGAGGCGCGAAGGUGCGGGGAGCGAACAGGUUUAGAUACCCUGGUAGUCCGCACAGUAAACGAUGUGCACCAGGUGGCGGGGGGUAGCCCUCGGUACCGAAGCCAACGCAUUAAGUGCACCGCCUGGGGAGUAUGCUCGCAAGGGUGAAACUCAAAUGAAUUGACGGGG